AUUUUUUUUGAAGCUGGCUGAUAAUUCAAAGGAGCAUAAUUGCAUGCCUUAUGAACAUUAUACCGCAACAUUACUUGCACAAAAAGGCCUUGAAGGAGAACCCACAAAUAGGAGUUUAACUCACACUUCAUGGGUAUCUCAUCAAGCAAAGGUCGUGAAAGGCAAGGAUGGCAUCCUAUGACGGCCAAAUCUACAAAUUUGUUGUUGCUACUCCCAUUAUUCAUUCAAUGGUCUCAUUCACACUUGAUCACAAUAAGGUGGUUCAUGACGAGUGCCCACCUACCGAAUAAAAGAAGCAAACAAGAAACUACUAAGGGGAAGGGCGACUACAUGGGCAUGCAUUAGCGGCAGAAGAUUUCGUGAAUUAUUGAAUAAACCGGAAGCUUUAUGAACUCCUUUAAGUUUUUUUUCCUGUAAUGUAUGUUUUUAGACUUGGCAUACAAGUUUGUUCUUAAACACAUUCCGCAAACAAAGUUUCCUGUGCUAUGCACGCCUUAAAUUUUGUGUGGCUGGCUUAUGGUACAAGCUCUUAUGACGUUUUGUAUGGC
Helianthus annuus (common sunflower) is the source of this 548-nucleotide long non-coding RNA. RefSeq lists it as uncharacterized. NCBI's taxonomy places the organism in Eukaryota, Viridiplantae, Streptophyta, Magnoliopsida, Asterales, Asteraceae. The record is from RefSeq and is a predicted model, not a curated record. The transcript is spliced from 4 exons.